UUCAGAUACAGUUGUAUUUUUUCCAGUAUCUAGUAUAAUUUGAGCAUCCUCCUUCAUUUUAAGGACUCAGGAUCAAAUGUUAAUUUUCUUUUUAAACCAUGUAUUCAAUAUUUUUAAACAUAUGUAAACAACUAAUGACAAGACUGAAGGACAGUGAAGUUAGGCAAAAUGUGGCAUCACAUGAUGGCAGGAGAUAUUUUCCAUUUUAAAUUCUUCUAAUAAAUCUUUCAAUUUGGCGUUUUAACUUCCUAGGGAAUAUAAUAACUGUUGCUGAUUUUUAAUGCAUUUUCAUUUUUUGGUCUUUUAUUUUCUUCUGUAAACUUCAUCCACUGCCUUGCUGUCAUAUUUUUUCAAAGCAAAUCCCAGAUAAAGUACAGCUCUGCAUUUUUGUACC
RNAcentral lists this long non-coding RNA (394 nucleotides) under Bos taurus (domestic cattle). RNAcentral's name for it is "long non-coding RNA NONBTAT015888". The record is from RNAcentral. Lineage: Eukaryota; Metazoa; Chordata; Mammalia; Artiodactyla; Bovidae.